This is a small nuclear RNA of Sorex fumeus (smoky shrew), 158 nucleotides long. RefSeq annotates it as U1 spliceosomal RNA. Lineage: Eukaryota; Metazoa; Chordata; Mammalia; Eulipotyphla; Soricidae. The transcript has a single exon. The record is from RefSeq and is a predicted model, not a curated record.
AUACUUACCUGAGAGGGGAGACACCAUGAUCACGUAGGUGGUUUUCCCAGGGCAAGUCUUAUUCAUCGCACUCCGGAUAUGCUGACCCCUGUGAUUUCCCCAAAUGUGGGAAACUCUACCACUGUUUCCCACAGCGGGUAGGGUAUUUGCCUUGCAUG